RNAcentral lists this transfer RNA (70 nucleotides) under Dipodomys ordii (Ord's kangaroo rat). It matches the Rfam family "tRNA". From Rfam's summary of the family: Transfer RNA (tRNA) molecules are approximately 80 nucleotides in length. The record is from Rfam by way of RNAcentral. Lineage: Eukaryota; Metazoa; Chordata; Mammalia; Rodentia; Heteromyidae.
GGGAAUGUGGCUCAGUGGUAGAGUGCUUGCCUAGCAUGCUUGAAGUCCUGGGUUCGAUUCCUCAGUACCA